AGCGGCGGACGGGUGAGUAACGCGUGGGAACGUGCCCUUCAGUACGGAAUAGCCCAGGGAAACUUGGAUUAAUACCGUAUACGCCCUUCGGGGGAAAGAUUUAUCGCUGAGGGAUCGGCCCGCGUUGGAUUAGGUAGUUGGUGGGGUAAAAGCCUACCAAGCCGACGAUCCAUAGCUGGUUUGAGAGGACGAUCAGCCACACUGGGACUGAGACACGGCCCAGACUCCUACGGGAGGCAGCAGUGGGGAAUCUUAGACAAUGGGGGAAACCCUGAUCUAGCCAUGCCGCGUGAGUGACGAAGGCCCUAGGGUCGUAAAGCUCUUUCGCCGGGGAAGAUAAUGACGGUACCCGGUAAAGAAGUCCCGGCUAACUCCGUGCCAGCAGCCGCGGUAAUACGGAGGGGACUAGCGU
Molecule: ribosomal RNA, 412 nt
Filed under: uncultured bacterium
Lineage: Bacteria
Description: bacterial SSU rRNA
Rfam family: Bacterial small subunit ribosomal RNA
Source: RNAcentral